GAAAGCUACAUUAUGAAUGAAAAUAUCCACAUUUCAAACACUUUGAAAGUGGAAGUUGCUUCUAAGGUGAUUUUUGCUGCUUUGAAAAAAAAAGAGGUUUAAAUACAGUUUUAUAAUCAUUUCUUACGUAUCUGUUGAUUAAGCAUAACAUUCACAUGAACAUACAAAAUAACAUACACAAGAAAAACAAAAUUUAGAAUAACAUUUUGUAUUGUAGUAUGUGUGAAAUAAUUUGUUUUUUUUCCACUAUAUCCCUGGGUCAAAGUUUAUAGCAUUUACUUUAACCAGCUAUCUUUCUCAUUUUCAUAAGGGUCCCACGAGGCAAUAGUCAUACAUUGUUACUUCAGCCUUCACAAAGGCAAAACAGUACAGAUCCCUGUACUGUAGUAGACAACACAGAACAGUCCCAAUUUCAGUUCCUGUUACAUUGACAAGACUCCUUCAGAACUAAACAAAUCGCGUGGCUUUAAAAGAUUCUGAUCGCCUGGGGGUUGGAGAGGAUGGAGUGUCUUCUCUGUCUCCCGCGUCCACUUCCUCUCCCUCCAGCUGCCUGUUUUUGUCUGGAGAUGGUUAUAAAAUGGAUUUUCGAACUGUUGGGUUGAGGAAGGAACUAAGAAGGAACCUGGAAGGCUCAAAUCAGCACCCACCGAAGUGUUAGGAGUCCCGCGGGCCGCAUCCGAGGCGGGCCCGGCGUGUGCUUCGCGAAGUCCGGCGAGGCUGCCGCAGGCGUGGAUGAGACAGCCUGCCGAGAGCUUUGAAUUGCGAGAGCAGCGCUUCAGGAUCUGUUUGCAUUAA
Pteropus alecto (black flying fox) is the source of this 795-nucleotide long non-coding RNA. RefSeq lists it as uncharacterized. The transcript has 3 exons. The record is from RefSeq and is a predicted model, not a curated record. NCBI's taxonomy places the organism in Eukaryota, Metazoa, Chordata, Mammalia, Chiroptera, Pteropodidae.